AUGGGUUACACGCCUUUCUUCAUGGUUUACGGAGCUGAGGCGGUUCUCCCUAGUGACAUACGUCACGAUUCGCCUCGUGUGGCGGCUUAUAUUGAAACUGAUAAUGAGACAGCACGUCAGGAUGCUAUUGACCUGUUAGAUGAGGAGCUGACCUUGUGGCGGCUCGUUCGGCGAUUUACUAGCAAGAUCUGCGUCGUUAUCACAGCCGCCGGGUUAAGACCAGGACCUUUCAAGAAGGAGAUUUGGUGCUCCGGCUCAUCCAGGAUCAAACUGAUAUGCACAAGCUAUCCCCACCUUGGGAAGGACCAUUUGUGGUCAGCAAAAAUCUGA
RNAcentral lists this ribosomal RNA (330 nucleotides) under Triticum aestivum (bread wheat). RNAcentral describes it as "partial small subunit ribosomal RNA". Lineage: Eukaryota; Viridiplantae; Streptophyta; Magnoliopsida; Poales; Poaceae. The record is from RNAcentral.